This 468-nucleotide ribosomal RNA is filed under the name uncultured bacterium. RNAcentral describes it as "partial 16S ribosomal RNA". It matches the Rfam family "Bacterial small subunit ribosomal RNA", at positions 28 to 507 of the family's 1533-position model. The record is from RNAcentral.
GACGAACGCUGGCGGCGUGCUUAACACAUGCAAGUCGAACGGAAAGGCCCUGCUUUUGUGGGGUGUUCGAGUGGCGAACGGGUGAGUAACACGUGAGUAACCUUCCCUUGACUUUUGGAUAACUUCAGGAAACUGGGGCUAAUACCGGAUAGGAGCUCCUGCUGCAUGGUGGGGGUUGGAAAGUUUCGGCGGUUGGGGAUGGACUCGCGGCUUAUCAGCUUGUUGGUGGGUUAGUGGCUUACCAAGGCUUUGACGGGUAGCCGGCCUGAGAGGGUGACCGGCCACAUUGGGACUGAGAUACGGCCCAGACUCCUACGGGAGGAAGCAGUGGGGAAUAUUGCACAAUGGGCGGAAGCCUGAUGCAGAAACGCCGCGUGCGGGAUGACGGCCUUCGGGUUGUAAACCGCUUUCGCCUGUGACGAAGCGUGAGUGACGGUAAUGGGUAAAGAAGCACCGGCUAACUACGUG